CUACGUGUGGCAGCAGUGGGGAAUAUUGGACAAUGGGCGAAAGCCUGAUCCAGCCAUGCCGCGUGUGUGAAGAAGGCCUUCGGGUUGUAAAGCACUUUCAGUGGGGAAGAAAGCCUUGGGGCUAAUACCCUCGAGGAAGGACAUCACCCACAGAAGAAGCACCGGCUAACUCCGUGCCAGCAGCCGCGGUAAUACGGAGGGUGCGAGCGUUAAUCGGAAUUACUGGGCGUAAAGCGCGCGUAGGCGGUCUGAUAAGCCGGUUGUGAAAGCCCCGGGCUCAACCUGGGAACGGCAUCCGGAACUGUCAGGCUAGAGUGCAGGAGAGGAAGGUAGAAUUCCCGGUGUAGCGGUGAAAUGCGUAGAGAUCGGGAGGAAUACCAGUGGCGAAGGCGGCCUUCUGGACUGACACUGACGCUGAGGUGCGAAAGCGUGGGUAGCAAACAGGAUUAGAUACCCCAGUAGUC
RNAcentral lists this ribosomal RNA (464 nucleotides) under Vreelandella stevensii. Its description in RNAcentral is "partial 16S ribosomal RNA". It matches the Rfam family "Bacterial small subunit ribosomal RNA", at positions 339 to 795 of the family's 1533-position model. The record is from RNAcentral. Lineage: Bacteria; Pseudomonadati; Pseudomonadota; Gammaproteobacteria; Oceanospirillales; Halomonadaceae.